GGGCCGGUGGUUUAAUGGCAUAAUGCUACGUUCGCAACGUGGAGGUAGGGGGUUCAAUUCCCUCCCGGUCCA
RNAcentral lists this transfer RNA (72 nucleotides) under Nitrosopumilaceae archaeon. RNAcentral describes it as "tRNA-Ala". It matches the Rfam family "tRNA". From Rfam's summary of the family: Transfer RNA (tRNA) molecules are approximately 80 nucleotides in length. Their secondary structure includes four short double-helical elements and three loops (D, anti-codon, and T loops). The record is from RNAcentral. Lineage: Archaea; Thermoproteati; Nitrososphaerota; Nitrososphaeria; Nitrosopumilales; Nitrosopumilaceae.